UUUAAGGUCACUUCCCCAUUUUCGGGUAUCUUUUCAGCAGUGCCCCAUUCUACUAGUACUAAUUUACUAAAUUAGUCCGUUUUCAUGCUGCUGAUAAGGAAAUACCCAAGACAGGGCAAUUUACAAAAGGAAGAGGCUUAAUUAGGCUUACAGUUCCACGUGGCUUGGGAAGCCUCACAAUCAUGGUGGAAGGCAAGGAGAGGAGCAAGUCCCGUCUUACAUGGAUGGCAGCAGGCAAAGAGAGAAUGAGGAAGAUGCAAAAGCAGAAACCCCUGAUAAAACCAUCAGAUCUUGUGAGACCUAUUCACUACCACGAGAACAGUAUGGGGGAACCGCCCCCAUGAUUCAGUUAUCUCUUCCCGGGUCCUUCCUACAACAUGUGGGAAUUAUGGGAGUACAAUUCAAGAUGAGAUUUGGGUGAGGGCACAGCUAAACCAUAUCACCAUUUUAAACAGAUGAGGAAAUGAAGGCACUGAGAAGUUAAAUAACUUGCCCAUGGCCCCACAGCAAGUGACAGCAGAGAUUCAGAGGUAGGUAGGCUAAUUGCAAAACCAUUGUUCUUAACUGUUGUGUUAUGCUACCUCUGGAAUAUCAAACGUAUAGCUUUACUUGUUCAGUCAUUGCUGGAUUCAGGGCCCAAACAAGGUUAUUGGGAUUCUCUCUCAUGUUGUAUUUUGGCUCAGUUUUUCUCUGGGUUGAUUUUAUCCUCAGGCAGGCAUUGCCGGUGAAGUGACAGUAUAGCUGCUGGGAUGAGAACUGCAUAUUCAUAAUUUAGCAAUUUGUGUGGAAAGAGAGAAUUUAUUUUAACAAUACAGUUCUAGCAAAUGUUCUAGAAUUGACUCUCAUUGGGUCAGUUUGAGUUUUAUUCCUAUUCCUGAACCAGUCACUGUGGCCUGAGGGUAGGGAUGGGAUAGAGUGGAAUGUUCUUAUUGGCCAGUCUGGGCCAUGUGUGUUUCCAUCCCUGGAUCUGAGACGGGGGAAUGAAUCCUUACCUCCAGGGAACAUCAGGGUGCUAAUACCAGAAAUGGGAAUGGAUAUGGGCCAGGCAAAAACAAAUGUUCACCACGCUUAAGAUAUUAGGACCUCACUGGGUGCAAUGGCUCACGCCUGUAAUCCCAGUACUUUGGGAGGCUGAGGCAGGCAGAUCACCUGAGGUUAGAAGUUUGAGACCAGCCUGGUCAACAUGGCAAAACCCCAUCUCUACUAAAAAUACAAAAAUUAGCCGGGUGUGGUGGCAUGCGCCUGUAAUCCCAGCUACUGGGGAGGCUGAGGCAGGAGAAUUGCUUGAACCCGGGAGGCGGAGGUUGCAGUGAGCUGAGAUCAUGCCACUACACUCCAGCCUGGGUGACAGAGCGAGACUCAAUCUCAAGGGAAAAAAAAAAGGAUAUUAGGACCGUGCUCACCCAGUAGGAUCCGUCUGCUUGAUUUCUAUUUUAGCCUUAACAUGUCAAAUAUUUUUACAGAAUUAUGAUGAAUUAUGAUAAAUUGAAAUCACGUCUGGGAGAGAUUCAUGAUAGCAAAAUGCGUCUAGAGCAGGAUUUGAAGAAACAAGCUUUGGACAACCGAGAAAUAGAUAAAAAAAUGAAUAGUAUCAAACCUGACCUGAUCCAGCUGCGAAAGAUCCGAGAUCAACACCUUGUAUGGCUCAAUCACAAAGGAGUGAGACAGAAACGCCUGAAUGUCUGGCUGGGAAUUAAGAAUGAGGAUGCUGAUGAGAACUAUUUUAUCAAUGAGGAAGAUGAAAACCUGCCCCAUUAUGAUGAGAAAACCUGGUUUGUUGAGGAUAUCAAUCGAGUACAAGCAGAGGACUUGCUUUAUGGGAAACCUGAUGGUGCAUUCUUAAUUCGUGAGAGUAGCAAGAAAGGAUGCUAUGCUUGCUCUGUGGUGGCCGAUGGGGAAGUGAAGCACUGUGUGAUCUACAGCACUGCUCGGGGCUAUGGCUUUGCAGAGCCCUACAACCUGUACAGCUCUCUGAAGGAGCUAGUGCUCCAUUACCAGCAGACAUCCUUGGUUCAGCACAACGACUCCCUCAACGUCAGGCUUGCCUACCCUGUUCAUGCACAGAUGCCCUCGCUUUGCAGAUAAAGAGGAAGUGGGAAGAGAGGUGGUUCUCUGGCAUUUUUUCCUACAGUUUUUAUUAGACUACGAUGAGGGCAUUCUUUCUACAUAGACUGCUUGUUUUGCACAAGAAGUGAUUUUGUGAAUGUGAAGUGGAGAGGCCGAGCAGCAGCCGGCCGGGAUGGGGGCAUUAGAGGCCUGAGGUUCUCUAGGACUCAGCCAUGCCGCUGCACUGACAUACUAAGCUGGAAGCAGAUGUUUUUUUUGAAAGUCUAUUUCAUUGGGGUUUUUGUUUUGUUUAGCCAGGCACCCUCAACAGAAUAUUAGGCUUGAUGGUUAUAGCGGGUGGGGUUGUAUUUGGAAGCCUCUGAAGAGGCCUUGUCUUUUUUAAAUCUAACUCUUGAGAGUGCAGCAGGGGCAUGGCUCUGCUGGGAGUUGUGUUUUGCUUUGGCAGUCUCUCUUCCCCCCACAAAGAAGGCUGUUUAGGUUUUGUGAUAGAAUGGGAUUUGAUGAAAAAGACAACCAAAGGAAAAUGGGGAGGCUUGGGAUUUCAUUUAAAUAAUCUAAGCCAAGAUGAUAAAAAAAAACCUUCAACUGAAGGUACUUUGUUUCUUACCAACAUAAUUUAGGCUUCAGCAUCUCACCAGCCCCUCCCUCUGAAGAAGUAUUAUGUUCAGAAGCCAACAAAACAGUUUGUUGCCAGACCAAUGUUUGAUGGGAAAACGUGGCACUCGUAGUUGAAUGUAUACUUCUGUACCAAAACUUGAACAUAAAAAGACUAGAAUUUGUGAGUUUUAGCAAACACUAAAAUUGAUCACUGUAACUAACCCCUUCUGUCCUUCCUGCCUGUUUCUCUGAGAUGAGGAAUAGCAUUCUUUUUGUGGGGAUGGUGAGCUUUGAAUCAUAAAAUGAAGUCGGUGCUUGUAUGGUGUUUCCUUAGCCUAAAGAAUGAUCUGUUGUUUGAAACCUUUGUAACUUGUUUGUAUGAGUAAAGAAAAGGUGCAAUCCAGUGCUUUUAGAUGGCUUGAUAUACCAAAUAACAAUAUAGAACAACAUUAUU
This 3118-nucleotide small RNA is filed under the name Pan troglodytes (chimpanzee). RNAcentral's name for it is "processed transcript". Lineage: Eukaryota; Metazoa; Chordata; Mammalia; Primates; Hominidae. The record is from RNAcentral.